AGGCCAGACUCCUACGGGAGGCAGCAGUGGGGGAUAUUGCACAAUGGGGGGAACCCUGAUGCAGCGACGCCGCGUGGGUGAAGAAGUAUUUCGGUAUGUAAAGCCCUAUCGGCAGGGAAGAAAUUGGACGGUACAUGACUAAGAAGCCCCGGCUAACUACGUGCCAGCAGCCGCGGUAAUACGUAGGGGGCAAGCGUUAUCCGGAUUCACUGGGUGUAAAGGGAGCGUAGACGGCCAUGCAAGCCUGGAGUGAAAGUCCGGGGCCCAACCCCGGGACUGCUCUUGGAACUGCGUGGCUGGAGUGCAGGAGGGGCAGGCGGAAUUCCUGGUGUAGCGGUGAAAUGCGUAGAUAUCAGGAGGAACACCGGUGGCGAAGGCGGCCUGCUGGACUGCAACUGACGUUGAGGCCCGAAAGCGUGGGGAGCAAACAGGAUUAGAUACCCUAGUA
Molecule: ribosomal RNA, 448 nt
Filed under: uncultured bacterium
Lineage: Bacteria
Description: bacterial SSU rRNA
Rfam family: Bacterial small subunit ribosomal RNA
Source: RNAcentral